RNAcentral lists this ribosomal RNA (431 nucleotides) under uncultured bacterium. RNAcentral describes it as "partial 16S ribosomal RNA". It matches the Rfam family "Bacterial small subunit ribosomal RNA", at positions 338 to 795 of the family's 1533-position model. The record is from RNAcentral.
CCUACGGGUGGCAGCAGUGGGGAAUAUUGGACAAUGGGGGAAACCCUGAUCCAGCAAUACCGCGUGGGUGAAGAAGGCCUUCGGGUUGUAAAGCCCUUUAGGCGGGGAAGCGGUACCCGCAGAAUAAGCACCGGCUAAUUCUGUGCCAGCAGCCGCGGUAAUACAGAAGGUGCAAGCGUUAAUCGGAUUUAUUGGGCGUAAAGGGCGCGUAGGUGGUAAAGCAAGUAAGAUGUGAAAGCCCCGGGCUUAACCUGGGAAGUGCAUCUUAAACUGCUUAACUAGAGUAUGGUAGAGGGUAGUGGAAUUUCCGGUGUAGCGGUGAAAUGCGUAGAUAUCGGAAGGAACGCCAGUGGUGAAGACGACUACCUGGCCAUACUGACACUGAGGCGCGAAAGCGUGGGGAGCAAACAGGAUUAGAUACCCUUGUAGUC